CGGGGCGUGGCGCAGACCGGCUAGCGCGCUUGCAUGGGGUGCAAGAGGCCCUGGGUUCAAAUCCCAGCGCCCCGACUA
Molecule: transfer RNA, 78 nt
Filed under: Chloroflexota bacterium
Lineage: Bacteria; Bacillati; Chloroflexota
Description: Chloroflexi bacterium (sediment metagenome) tRNA-Pro
Rfam family: tRNA
About the family: Transfer RNA (tRNA) molecules are approximately 80 nucleotides in length.
Source: RNAcentral